AUCCGCGCCGCAUUAGCUAGUUGGUAAGGUAACGGCUUACCAAGGCAACGAUGCGUAGCCGACCUGAGAGGGUGAUCGGCCACACUGGAACUGAGACACGGUCCAGACUCCUACGGGAGGCAGCAGU
RNAcentral lists this ribosomal RNA (127 nucleotides) under Staphylococcus epidermidis. RNAcentral describes it as "partial 16S ribosomal RNA". It matches the Rfam family "Bacterial small subunit ribosomal RNA", at positions 229 to 355 of the family's 1533-position model. The record is from RNAcentral. Lineage: Bacteria; Bacillati; Bacillota; Bacilli; Caryophanales; Staphylococcaceae.